GGCAAGAUGCCAGAGUGGUUAAUGGGUGUGACUAGAAAUCACAUGGCUUCGGCCGCACAGGUUCGAAUCCUGUUCUUGUCG
This is a transfer RNA of 81 nucleotides. It matches the Rfam family "tRNA". Rfam says of the family: Transfer RNA (tRNA) molecules are approximately 80 nucleotides in length. Their secondary structure includes four short double-helical elements and three loops (D, anti-codon, and T loops). Further hydrogen bonds mediate the characteristic L-shaped molecular structure. tRNAs have two regions of fundamental functional importance: the anti-codon, which is responsible for specific mRNA codon recognition, and the 3' end, to which the tRNAs corresponding amino acid is attached (by aminoacyl-tRNA synthetases). tRNAs cope with the degeneracy of the genetic code in two manners: having more than one tRNA (with a specific anti-codon) for a particular amino acid; and 'wobble' base-pairing, i.e. permitting non-standard base-pairing at the 3rd anti-codon position. The record is from Rfam.